GAUGAACGCUGGCGGCGUGCCUAAUACAUGCAAGUCGAGCGAACAGACGAGGAGCUUGCUUCUCUGACGUUAGCGGCGGACGGGUGAGUAACACGUGGAUAACCUACCUAUAAGACUGGGAUAACUUCGGGAAACCGGAGCUAAUACCGGAUAAUAUAUUGAACCGCAUGGUUCAAUAGUGAAAGACGGUUUUGCUGUCACUUAUAGAUGGAUCCGCGCCGCAUUAGCUAGUUGGUAAGGUAACGGCUUACCAAGGCAACGAUGCGUAGCCGACCUGAGAGGGUGAUCGGCCACACUGGUACUGAGACACGGUCCAGACUCCUACGGGAGGCAGCAGUAGGGAAUCUUCCGCAAUGGGCGAAAGCCUGACGGAGCAACGCCGCGUGAGUGAUGAAGGUCUUCGGAUCGUAAAACUCUGUUAUUAGGGAAGAACAAAUGUGUAAGUAACUAUGCACGUCUUGACGGUACCUAAUCAGAAAGCCACGGCUAACUACGUG
This 497-nucleotide ribosomal RNA is filed under the name uncultured bacterium. RNAcentral's name for it is "partial 16S ribosomal RNA". It matches the Rfam family "Bacterial small subunit ribosomal RNA", at positions 28 to 507 of the family's 1533-position model. The record is from RNAcentral.